UGCAAGUCGAGCGGCAGCACGGGGGCAACCCUGGUGGCGAGCGGCGAACGGGUGAGUAACACAUCGGAACAUGCCCAGUCGUGGGGGAUAUCACUUCGAAAGAAGUGCUAAUACCGCAUACGUCCUGAGGGAGAAAGCGGGGGAUCGCAAGACCUCGCGCGAUUGGAGUGGCCGAUGUCAGAUUAGCUAGUUGGUGGGGUAAAGGCCUACCAAGGCAACGAUCUGUAGCUGGUCUGAGAGGAUGAUCAGCCACACUGGGACUGAGACACGGCCCAGACUCCUACGGGAGGCAGCAGUGGGGAAUUUUGGACAAUGGGGGCAACCCUGAUCCAGCCAUUCCGCGUGAGUGAAGAAGGCCUUCGGGUUGUAAAGCUCUUUCAGCAGGAACGAAACGGCGAGUACUAAUACUGCUCGCUAAUGACGGUACCUGAAGAAGAAGCACCGGCUAACUACGUGCCAGCAGCCGCGGUAAUACGUAGGGUGCGAGCGUUAAUCGGAAUUACUGGGCGUAAAGCGUGCGCAGGCGGUUGUGCAAGACAGGUGUGAAAUCCCCGGGCUUAACCUGGGAACUGCGCUUGUGACUGCACGGCUAGAGUAUGGCAGAGGGGGGUGGAAUUCCACGUGUAGCAGUGAAAUGCGUAGAGAUGUGGAGGAACACCGAUGGCGAAGGCAGCCCCCUGGCCAAUACUGACGCUCAUGC
Molecule: ribosomal RNA, 700 nt
Filed under: uncultured bacterium
Lineage: Bacteria
Description: bacterial SSU rRNA
Rfam family: Bacterial small subunit ribosomal RNA
Source: RNAcentral